GGUGAGGUGGUGAUUUUCAGAGAGAGGGGAAGAGAGGGUGACUGCAUCAUUAAUUCUCCAAGGAACAGCCACAAAUUCUCUUCAAAGUGGGCUGCCACUUUCCAUCACACAGGGGAGCACACGCGCUGUCAAUCCACCAAGGAGAGAUCCAUGCUGCUGGUCUACAGGGGAAGAAACCGGCUGCCACGUUCACAAAGAUCCAUGCACAACACGCAGGGGACUUUUCUUUGACGAGGAGAGAUCAAUACACGGAGGAUUUUUUUAGAGGAGCACACGGAGACAUAUUGGAUUUUUUUUUCUGGAGCAAAGGAAGGAGCCAAGAACCACACGAAAAAGAAACCAAACACACACAACCAUACGGAGGAUUGAUAUCAAAGUGGUGGUGACAUAGGCCAAAAGAGGACACAGUCGGCUGCAUCUUGAAGAAGAACACAGCACCACCGCACCAUGCGCUGAGAUUCCAUGCCUCUCCAAAGGUACCCACAUGGCUGCAAGUUGAAGAGGAACUCACCAUAGCCGCACCAUCCAUUGAGAACCAGCCG
Molecule: long non-coding RNA, 542 nt
Filed under: Vitis vinifera (wine grape)
Lineage: Eukaryota; Viridiplantae; Streptophyta; Magnoliopsida; Vitales; Vitaceae
Description: long non-coding RNA (VVIN_LNC006787)
Source: RNAcentral